GCCGACGUAGCUCAGUGGUAGAGCAACUGAUUCGUAAUCAGUAGGUCCGCGGUUCAAAUCCGCGCGUCGGCACCA
This 75-nucleotide transfer RNA is filed under the name Alphaproteobacteria bacterium. Its description in RNAcentral is "tRNA-Thr". It matches the Rfam family "tRNA". From Rfam's summary of the family: Transfer RNA (tRNA) molecules are approximately 80 nucleotides in length. Their secondary structure includes four short double-helical elements and three loops (D, anti-codon, and T loops). The record is from RNAcentral. RNAcentral also lists the same sequence under 2 other names. Lineage: Bacteria; Pseudomonadati; Pseudomonadota; Alphaproteobacteria.